RNAcentral lists this ribosomal RNA (1361 nucleotides) under uncultured bacterium. Its description in RNAcentral is "bacterial SSU rRNA". It matches the Rfam family "Bacterial small subunit ribosomal RNA", at positions 28 to 1381 of the family's 1533-position model. The record is from RNAcentral.
AUUGAACGCUGGCGGCAGGCCUAACACAUGCAAGUCGAGCGGUAGCACAGAGAGCUUGCUCUCGGGUGACGAGCGGCGGACGGGUGAGUAAUGUCUGGGAAACUGCCUGAUGGAGGGGGAUAACUACUGGAAACGGUAGCUAAUACCGCAUAACGUCGCAAGACCAAAGUGGGGGACCUUCGGGCCUCAUGCCAUCAGAUGUGCCCAGAUGGGAUUAGCUAGUAGGUGGGGUAACGGCUCACCUAGGCGACGAUCCCUAGCUGGUCUGAGAGGAUGACCAGCCACACUGGAACUGAGACACGGUCCAGACUCCUACGGGAGGCAGCAGUGGGGAAUAUUGCACAAUGGGCGCAAGCCUGAUGCAGCCAUGCCGCGUGUGUGAAGAAGGCCUUCGGGUUGUAAAGCACUUUCAGCGGGGAGGAAGGCGGUGAGGUUAAUAACCUCAUCGAUUGACGUUACCCGCAGAAGAAGCACCGGCUAACUCCGUGCCAGCAGCCGCGGUAAUACGGAGGGUGCAAGCGUUAAUCGGAAUUACUGGGCGUAAAGCGCACGCAGGCGGUCUGUCAAGUCGGAUGUGAAAUCCCCGGGCUCAACCUGGGAACUGCAUUCGAAACUGGCAGGCUAGAGUCUUGUAGAGGGGGGUAGAAUUCCAGGUGUAGCGGUGAAAUGCGUAGAGAUCUGGAGGAAUACCGGUGGCGAAGGCGGCCCCCUGGACAAAGACUGACGCUCAGGUGCGAAAGCGUGGGGAGCAAACAGGAUUAGAUACCCUGGUAGUCCACGCCGUAAACGAUGUCGAUUUGGAGGUUGUGCCCUUGAGGCGUGGCUUCCGGAGCUAACGCGUUAAACCGACCGCCUGGGGAGUACGGCCGCAAGGUUAAAACUCAAAUGAAUUGACGGGGGCCCGCACAAGCGGUGGAGCAUGUGGUUUAAUUCGAUGCAACGCGAAGAACCUUACCUGGUCUUGACAUCCACAGAACUUUCCAGAGAUGGAUUGGUGCCUUCGGGAACUGUGAGACAGGUGCUGCAUGGCUGUCGUCAGCUCGUGUUGUGAAAUGUUGGGUUAAGUCCCGCAACGAGCGCAACCCUUAUCCUUUGUUGCCAGCGGUUAGGCCGGGAACUCAAAGGAGACUGCCAGUGAUAAACUGGAGGAAGGUGGGGAUGACGUCAAGUCAUCAUGGCCCUUACGACCAGGGCUACACACGUGCUACAAUGGCAUAUACAAAGAGAAGCGACCUCGCGAGAGCAAGCGGACCUCAUAAAGUAUGUCGUAGUCCGGAUUGGAGUCUGCAACUCGACUCCAUGAAGUCGGAAUCGCUAGUAAUCGUAGAUCAGAAUGCUACGGUGAAUGCGUUCCCGGGCCU